This 253-nucleotide ribosomal RNA is filed under the name uncultured bacterium. RNAcentral describes it as "partial 16S ribosomal RNA". It matches the Rfam family "Bacterial small subunit ribosomal RNA", at positions 524 to 776 of the family's 1533-position model. The record is from RNAcentral.
UACGGGGGGGGCAAGCGUUGUUCGGAAUUACUGGGCGUAAAGGGCUCGUAGGUGGCCAACUAAGUCAGACGUGAAAUCCCUCAGCUUAACUGGGGAACUGCGUCUGAUACUGGAUGGCUUGAGUUUGGGAGAGGGAUGCGGAAUUCCAGGUGUAGCGGUGAAAUGCGUAGAUAUCAGGAAGAACACCCGUGGCGAAGGCGGCUCACUGGACCACAACUGACGCUGAGGCGCGAAAGCCAGGGGAGCAAACGGG